This 1950-nucleotide ribosomal RNA is filed under the name human gut metagenome. RNAcentral describes it as "bacterial LSU rRNA". It matches the Rfam family "Bacterial large subunit ribosomal RNA", at positions 1 to 1989 of the family's 2925-position model. The record is from RNAcentral.
UUAAAGUAGUAAGGGCGCAGGGUGGAUGCCUUGGCACUAAGAGCCGAUGAAAGACGUGAUAAGCUGCGAAAAGCUUCGGGGAGGAGCACAUAUCCAAUGAUCCGGAGAUAUCUGAAUGGGGAAACCCGGCAGAGGAAACCUCUGUCAGCGUGCAGUGAAUACAUAGCUGUACGUGGGGAACCCGGGGAACUGAAACAUCUAAGUACCCGGAGGAAGAGAAAGAAAAUUUAUCGAUUUCCAAAGUAGCGGCGAGCGAAAUGGAAAGAGCCCAAACCGUGAUGCGUGCAUCGCGGGGUUCGGACUGCGUUGUGGCAGACGUAAGAUAGGAGAACGGACUGGGAAGUCCGGCCGGAGAGAGUGAAAGCCUCGUAUCCGAAAUCCCAAGUCGCCUAGCAGGAUCCAGAGUAGGACGAGACACGAGAAACCUUGUCUGAACGAGCGGGGACCACCCCGUAAGGCUAAAUACUUCUUAGUGACCGAUAGCGCAUAGUACUGUGAAGGAAAGGUGAAAAGUACCCCGGGAGGGGAGUGAAAGAGAACCUGAAACCCUGUGUCUACAAGCUGUGGGACCUCUUUAUAUGAGGGACUGCGUACUUUUUGUAGAACGGUCCGGCGAGUUGUGCGUACUGGCGAGGUUAAGGACUUAAGGUCUGGAGCCGAAGUGAAAGCAAGCGUUAAUAGCGCGUCAAGUCAGUGAGUGCAGACCCGAAACCGGGUGACCUAUCCAUGUCCAGGUUGAAGCUUCCGUAAGAGGAAGUGGAGGACCGAACCCACAUCCGUUGAAAAGGGUGGGGAUGAGGUGUGGAUAGCGGAGAAAUUCCAAUCGAACCCGGAGAUAGCUGGUUCUCCUCGAAAUAGCUUUAGGGCUAGCCUCAUGAGAGUCUUAUGGAGGUAGAGCACUGAAUUGCCUAGGGGGCGUCAAAGCUUACCAAAGCAUAUCAAACUCCGAAUGCCAUCAAGAUGAUUCAUGGGAGUCAGACCAUACGAGAUAAGUUGGAUGGUCAAAAGGGAAAGAGCCCAGACCUACAGCUAAGGUCCCAAAGUACGUGUUAAGUGGAAAAGGAUGUGGGGAUUCUAAGACAACUAGGACGUUGGCUUAGAAGCAGCCAUUCAUUGAAAGAGUGCGUAAUAGCUCACUAGUCGAGAGUCCCUGCGCCGAAAAUGUCCGGGGCUGAAACACGACACCGAAGCUUAGGAAUGUGUAAACAUUGGUAGAGGAGCAUUGCUGGCGGGAUGAAGCCAUACCGUAAGGAGUGGUGGACUGCCAGGAAGAGAGAAUGCCGGAAUGAGUAGCGAGAUGAAGGUGAGAAUCCUUCAGGCCGAAUAUCUAAGGUUUCCAGAGUAAAGCUGAUCUGCUCUGGGUAAGUCGGGACCUAAGGCGAGGUCGAAAGACGUAGUCGAUGGAUAACAGGUUGAAAUUCCUGUACCGCAUAUAAACAGAACUGUGGGGACACAGACAGGGAAUGGAAUCCGGGAAUGGAUAUCCCGGUGCAAGCGAGGUAGGAGUGCUGUUGGCAAAUCCGCAGCACGAUCUGAAGACGUGACGCGUACCGAACAUAAGUAGGGAAGUCCAGGCCCCUGGCUGUCAAGAAAAGCCGCUAUCGUUUUAUAUGUGCCCGUACCGCAAACCGACACAGGUGGAUGAGGAGAGAAUCCUAAGGCCGACGGGAGAAGUAUUGUUAAGGAACUCGGCAAAAUGACUCCGUAACUUCGGGAGAAGGAGUGCCAUGAGAGUGGCCGCAGAGAAAUGGCCCAAGCAACUGUUUAGCAAAAACACAGGUCUAUGCAAAACCGCAAGGUGAAGUAUAUGGGCUGACGCCUGCCCGGUGCUGGAAGGUUAAGGGGAGAGGUUAGCGCAAGCGAAGCUUUGAACUUAAGCCCCAGUAAACGGCGGCCGUAACUAUAACGGUCCUAAGGUAGCGAAAUUCCUUGUCGGGUAAGUUCCGACCC